RNAcentral lists this ribosomal RNA (253 nucleotides) under uncultured bacterium. RNAcentral describes it as "partial 16S ribosomal RNA". It matches the Rfam family "Bacterial small subunit ribosomal RNA", at positions 524 to 776 of the family's 1533-position model. The record is from RNAcentral.
UACGUAGGGUGCAAGCGUUAAUCGGAAUUACUGGGCGUAAAGCGUGCGCAGGCGGUUUUGUAAGUCUGUCGUGAAAGCCCCGGGCUCAACCUGGGAAUUGCGAUGGAGACUGCAAGGCUUGAAUCUGGCAGAGGGGGGUAGAAUUCCACGUGUAGCAGUGAAAUGCGUAGAGAUGCGGAGGAACACCGAUGGCGAAGGCAGCCCCCUGGGUCGACACUGACGCUCAGGCACGAAAGCGUGGGGAGCAAACAGG